AAGCACCGAAGCGCCAAUGGUACUCGGGCUCAAGCCCCGGGAGAGUAGGUCAUCGCCAAAC
RNAcentral lists this ribosomal RNA (61 nucleotides) under Cribrihabitans marinus. The record is from RNAcentral. Lineage: Bacteria; Pseudomonadati; Pseudomonadota; Alphaproteobacteria; Rhodobacterales; Paracoccaceae.